UACGUAGGGUGCGAGCGUUGUCCGGAAUCAUUGGGCGUAAAGGGCUCGUAGGCGGUCCAUCGCGUCGGGAGUGAAACGCUGGGGCUUAACCCCAGUCCUGCUUUCGAUACGGGUGGACUAGAGGUAGGCAGGGGAGAAUGGAAUUCCUGGUGUAGCGGUGAAAUGCGCAGAUAUCAGGAGGAACACCGGUGGCGAAGGCGGUUCUCUGGGCCUGUACUGACGCUGAGGAGCGGAAGCGUGGGGAGCGAACAGG
RNAcentral lists this ribosomal RNA (253 nucleotides) under uncultured bacterium. RNAcentral's name for it is "partial 16S ribosomal RNA". It matches the Rfam family "Bacterial small subunit ribosomal RNA", at positions 524 to 776 of the family's 1533-position model. The record is from RNAcentral.